Molecule: small nucleolar RNA, 250 nt
Filed under: Candidozyma auris
Lineage: Eukaryota; Fungi; Ascomycota; Pichiomycetes; Serinales; Metschnikowiaceae
Source: RNAcentral
AACGCUAAUUACACAGCCAUCCACAACGUCACAGAAUUCCGUCGAGGCCGAACCCGUUUAGGCGUUCGUGGCCCAUGACCAUCGGAGUAUUGUUGUGGGAUGAAGUAUUUACUUCGUCUAACUCGUGAUGGUCUGGAGAAUGAUCGGUUGAUCUUGGGUGCAGCAUUUCAUCUGUUGAUAGCUUGCUAUCACUAAGGGAUUACCUUCGUGUACCCGAAUGGGAAAUGGUGCAAUGAUCAGCUGUACAUUU